AUACGUAGGUGACAAGCGUUAUCCGGAUUUACUGGGCGAAAAGGGCGUGUAGGCGGUCUUGCAAGUCAGUAGUGGAAGUCCAUUUUUCAAGGAUGGAAGUGCUACAGAAACUGCGGAGCUUGAGAGCAGGAGAGGUUAUCGGAAUUCCCGGUGUAGCGGAGAAAUGCGUAGAGAUCGGGAGGAAAACCAGUGGCGAAGGCGGGUAACUGGACUGCAACUGACGCUGAGGCGCGAAAGUGUGGGGAGCAAACAGGAUUAGAUACCCUGGUAGUCCACACUGUAAACGAUGAAUGCUAGGUGUAGGAGGUAUCGACCCCUUCUGUGCCGCAGUAAACACAGUAAGCAUUCCGCCUGGGGAGUACGGUCGCAAGAUUAAAACUCAAAGGAAUUGACGGG
Molecule: ribosomal RNA, 396 nt
Filed under: uncultured bacterium
Lineage: Bacteria
Description: partial 16S ribosomal RNA
Rfam family: Bacterial small subunit ribosomal RNA
Source: RNAcentral